AGGGUCAAGAUGAUAAGGGCACACGGUGGAUGCCCUGGCACCCGAGCCGAGGAAGGACGUGAUUACCUGCGAAAAGCCACGGGGAGC
Molecule: ribosomal RNA, 87 nt
Filed under: Meiothermus sp. Pnk-1
Lineage: Bacteria; Thermotogati; Deinococcota; Deinococci; Thermales; Thermaceae
Description: partial 23S ribosomal RNA
Rfam family: Bacterial large subunit ribosomal RNA
Source: RNAcentral